GCUCUUAGAAGGGCUUAAUUUCGUUUUAUUAGGGGCUGAAGAGCGUAGGAAAAAGACUCAAAUACCCUUAAGGACACGUCCUUUUAAUGACUGAAACCCGUCCUACCGAUGCUCAGACCGACGUACCGCAUCGAUGGGAUCGACGCGAUGGAAUACACGUCGUGUCGAGUCCGCAUCGAUUUACUAAAAUUUGCCACUGGGACCCAACAAAAUAUUGAUCGAUGCGAUGGACGAUGUGGCGUGUCGAUACACUAUUUUAGGUUCCCAAACGUGGCUCAAACGAGAUUCAAAAAAUUUGAAACUCAUCCGAGAAUACCUACUGGUGUUCCUGAUCAUGAAUCAGCCUAAAGAUCAUUACUUUAAGGUCAUAAGGGUCGUGAAAAGGAGUCGCCAACUUACGAAGGCAAAAAUAACACUAAGUCUGGAUAGUUAGCUAGAAUUUUCUAAGUAUGGGACCCCUCAACAAGCUUUAAAAAGGCUGAAUUUAGCUUAGAAUUUUACGGAGUCUUACAUAUAAUUUCUUAGAGGAAAUUAGAAAGAUGUUUGGCAGAUGAUAUCAUAGCAAUCAGUAGGUUGGGACAUCCACACGCAUAUCUAUAUGCGAGAAAUAUAAUGAACUCCUUGAGUUUAACGAUGCCAAAAGUACGUGAAUGAGGGCAAGUAUUUUAUUAAAAGUACAUGAUGCAUUUGUUAUUUUUUGAAUACGUAAAUAUAUAUAACUAUAUAUUCAUUGCAGGUUGUGCCGGCUAUCAUACCUGAUUUUUACCUAAGGGCAAAACGAGCACGACAUUAUGGACUCUAAAAUAAUUAAUUUUGUACAGAGUCGCCACCUAAUUUUAAGAAAAAAUAGAAAGCCUAUAUAUUUAUUAACAAGUAUAACAUUAUUUAAUCUGCGAACCAAUUUAAAUUCUAGGUAAGGGUUCAAAUUAUUCUGAAGGAAAAGGAUUAGACACCCUUCAGAAUACACAAAUGUGGUUCCCAAUCAGACUUAAAUUUUUUACAAAACGAAAGAAAAAAUCAAGGUUUAUAAAUACAAAUCUAAAAUAUAAAUUAAAAAAAUAUAAAUAAUUUGCAUAUAAAAAUGUAUAAAUUAUAUAAAUUAUUGUAUAUAAAAAAUGAGUGAAUAUGAUCGAAAGUAUAUAAGAAUGUGUGCAAAAAAAGAAAAAUUUAUUUUAAAGAAAAAGAUUACACGAUAUUUUUUAAUGCAUAAGUAUGAAUUAAUUGAUUAACUAUCUAAAUUAAUUUAAUUUUUUCUAUAAAUAUUAACGGUCUAGAUUUUCUUAAACGCGCGGUAAAGAUUGCAUAAGUUAAAAAAUAUCCCACUCAACACCCAAAAAUAAAGAUUUCACUAUAAUUAAUAUUUUUACAAUGAGAAGAAUAAUAAAAAAAUACAAAUACAAAAAAUUCAAGCUUUCUUUGAAUGUCAUUUCCGACGAGUAUUCCCGAGAACCUAUACAAACACUUGUAAUAAAAAUAUUAGUAACGAAAUAAUUACAAAAAAGCAUGUGCACAUGUAUGUAUUUAAAAAAUAUAAAUAUUAUUAAAAAGCAGGCUCAGAUAAAGUUUUUUAAAAAAUAUAAAAAUUUCAUUAUUGCCCGAAUUUAUUCAUUUUAUUAUGUAUUUGUAUACGUAAUAUUCAUCUUUUAUUUGCAGAGGCCUCGAAAUUGAUGGAGAUUUUCUUCAUAGGCCAAGUGUCAACCUUUGAUAUAAAAUAAUAAUUUUGAUAAAAUAAAAUCCGUCUUUUGUAAUGGGAUGACCUCAAAUAUCCAAAUGGAGAAAUAAUUUUACUGGCCAACCGUCGGCCCUUAAGAUAAAAUAAUAAUUUUGAUAAAAUAAAGUCGUCUUUUGUGAUAGGGUGGCCUCAAACAUCCAGACGGAGAGAUAAUUUCAUUGACCAAAUAAAAAAGUUAAAUUUAAAAUAAAAUUUAUCUUUAUAAUAGGUAGACCUCGAAAAUUCAACCGAGAUAUUUUAUCAUUAUCAAUUAAACUAUUCAAUAUCCAACUAAAAUAAAAACUAAUAACAGAUCAACAAAACACAACUCAAGAAUUACAAAACAGAAUGAUAAUGUAAACAUUAUAACAAUUACGUAGGAAAAUGACAGUACAAAAAACUAAAAAUAAAAAUUAAAUCAAAUAUGUUUAAAAAUAAUGAAAGAAGUUGCAACAACACUAAGAGAAAAUAACAUUCUAAUAUUAACAUUAAACUUCGAACAAAGAAUCUCAAAGUAAAAGGUAUUAACAUUGUCAUAGACAUAAUUGAUCAAUUCAAGAACAAUUUGAAUAUAUGUAGACCCACAUGUAACAAUACGAAAAAUAAAAGUUGUGGAGGUCAAAUCUCGACGGGAUCUGAAUUUUACCGGAGUUAUGACUUGAGAUUACCGAAUUUUGUACUUCUCAGAUGUCGUUGUUGUUUGCCGUGGAGGUUGUUUGGGGAUGGAUAAACGGAAAGAAAGGAGGGAUGGGGGCGGCAGUGGGCUGCCGGACUUGAAACAGUGUACGGCGGCAUUUCGGUUGCUGGUUCUUCGGAAUCACUGGUUCGUUGUUGUCUGGAGCUCGCCGGUCAUCAACUCCAGCGAUCCAAUGGUGGAGCAGCGGGUAGAGGAGAAAGGACGAGCGGUGGUGGCGUUUUGGUGGUUUUUCGACGGUAAUGAAGGGAUGUAGGGAAGAAAGACAGAGAGGAGGAAGGGGGUGUGGUGGUGGUGCUAUCGGGAAAAAUCCACCAGAGCUCCAGUGGUGGUGGGGCGGCAGUGAAGGGAAAAGGGAGAGAGAAAAGACGAGAGAAAGUGAUGAGAGUGAGUGGGGAUUUGGUUUGUAUGUCGGUGUGUUAGUGUAUAAUACAUUAGUAUGUGUUUGUGUGGUGAAUGAGUAUUAAAAAGGAAAAUUAAUAAUAUAAAAAAAUAUAUUAAAUUUAUUUUUAUUCAAUAUAUUCCUUAAAUUUGGGAUAGUAGGUAAAAAUAAAGUUAAAAAAAUUAAAAGUGAUAAGACUUUUGACUUGACUAAUUUGUUAUUCUGUAUAUUAAAAUAAUUAAAUCGACUCAUAUUUGUAGAUCGUAUUAAAUAAUGUACAAGAUAAUGAAUGUUGAUGUAUAAUUUUAGAAAAAUAUAAAUAAUAAAUAAAUAAAAAUAUAAUUAUUUUUAAAAAAUAUAUUGCACUAUAAAUAAUUAAAAUUAUACUGUGCAGUAAAAAAUUAUAGUGUUGUGUUGUGUACGUAUGCAAAUAACUGUGCAAAAAUAUUAAAAUAAUAAUAAAUUGAUAAAAAAUUUAAAAUUUAUGAAAUUAAAGAUAAUUAUUAAUAAAUUAUGUAAAAUUAAAAUAGCACAGUAAAUGAGUAAAUAAUUCUAAAAUAGUGAUGAUUAUCAAUAAUUUAUUAACAAUUGUAAAAAAUAUGUGAAAAAUUACAUGUUGUGUCAUUUAACGAUCAGGAGGCCUAAAAUGCCUUAGUUUUAAGUUUGGGGAGCUAAAAUUGGGUGUCAACAGUUCGUUUGAAGAUAAUAUAGAAGUCUUCAAACGAAAAAGUUGAUAUAUAGCCAAUUUUGUUCAACAAAAAAAUAUUUUUGAUAAAAAAUUUGGGCGAACUCCAAUUUAGAGUCACCCACAUAUUUCGAGUUUGCAUGAGGAUCAGGUCGGGUAUAGUUGAAAAGUUAUCCCAACAUGUCUUAUUUUGGGUUGGACAAACCCAAAGCAUCCUCGAAUUUUAUGCCUGCAAAAUUUAUAAAACUAAAAAGCAGAAGACAAAUGAGUAACUAAGCUAAAUUUUUUAUUUUUUUUUUAAGAAAUUCAAAAAAAAAAUGGCAUGUAGUGCUUGAACUAAUGUAAAGAUAAAUAAAUAAAGACAUUGUACAAUUUUAAUUGAAGAUAAGCAUAAUAUUCAAUUGAAGAUAAAUACGCAUAAAGGUCUUAUUAAAGAGCAGACUAACCCAAAAUGUCUUAUUUUAGGGCGGACGAACCCAAUUUAUCCUCAAAUUAUAUGAUUGCAAAUGCGUCAAUCUAAUAAGUACUGCUCAAUAAAACACAAACGAAAAAUUAAACAUGAUUUUUUUCUUUAUGUUUUUUUUUCUUUUUUUCGAGAAAUUAAGAUAGUAUGCUGUGCUUAACUAAAUAAGAAAAAAAAAUAGUAUAAACAAAAAUAACAUCCAGUACUUAAAUAAUAAAAUAAGUGUAUUGUGAUAUGUGCAAGUAAAAACAAAGCAUACAAUGCUUAAAUAACAAAGUAAGUGCAUUCGGUGUGCAAAUAAAGGCAAAGAUGGAAUGCGGUGCUUAAAUGAUAAAACAAAUACAUUGCAAUAUUUGGGAGGCGUGCAGCACCUAAAUGCUAAAAUAAAUGCAUUGCAAUAUAUGCGUGCAGUGCUUAAAUAAUAAAAUAAAUGCAUUGCGAUAUGUGUCAAUAAAGGCAAAAUGACAUGCAGUGCUUAAAUGAUGAAAUAAAUGCAUUACGAUAUUUGCGAAGCAUGCAGUGCUUAAAUAAAAAAAUGCAUUGAUAUAUGUGCGUGCAGUACUUAAAUGACAAAAUAAAUGCAUUGCAAUAGUUGUGAGACAGCGGUGCCUAAAUUAUAAAAUAAAUGUAUUAUGUUAUGUGCAUGCAGUGCUUAAAUGCAUAGCAAUAUGCGCCGAUAAAGGAAAAAAUGACAUGCGAUGCUGAAAUGAUAAAAUUAAUGCAUUGCAAUAAGUGCGGGCAAGAAUGACAUGUGAUGCUUAAAUGAUAAAAGGGAAAAGGCUCAAAUAUGUCACUGAACUAUCAAAAUGACUCAUUUAUGUCAUCCGUUAAAAGUUAGGCUCAUUCAUGUCAUCGCUGUUACAAAACUGACACAUUCAUGCUAUUACUUUUAACAGUCAGUUUUUAGAAAACAGUUUUGCCACGUGGCAGCAUAUUAGAGGUCUACGUCAUUUUUUAAAAUUUUUUAUAUUUUUUUAUUAAUUUGAAAAAAAUUAUAAAAAAAUUAUUAUAAAUAUUUUUUUUAUAAAUAUUUUUUUUUAAAAAUCCCCCAACUUCCCAACCUUAUACAUUAUAUAUUUAUAAAGAAAACCUUACCCUAAAGAAAACUACCCCAAUCAUCCCCACCUUUUCCUCAACCCCUUCAACUCCCUCAACUUCCCAACCUUAUACAUUAUAUAGUACACCCACACAGACAUAAAGGAGGACAUAGAAAAACACAAAGAUAAAGGGAACGAAUAGGGAGGAUUAGGGAAAUAAAAAUGACAAAAACAGGAAGAAAGGGAGAGGAACCUUGAAAAAAAAAAUACGAAUUGGGAGAGAAAAAUAAGAAAAGAGAAGAGUUAAGAAGAAAAGGAGUAACAUUUGACAGAAACAAAAAGGAAAUAACAUAAACGGGUAGACAACGAGUUGGAGUUUGAGGUUUGGUUCGUGAUUUCGAGUUCACAGCUUUUUCUUUCUUUUGUUGGCAACUAUUUUUCCAAAAGGUAACCCUUUACCUUUCUUUGAAUAAUAUAAUAUCGUGAUUAUGCGAAAUUCAAUUUCAAUAUUAUGAAGUGGAGUUGCACUUAUUUUACAUUUGUUGUUGUAAUACUAGAGUAUUCAAAUCUUUGUGAUGAUUAAAUUUGAAGUGAGAUUUGAUAUAAUAUAUGAUCCAUGCAUGCAUACACAUCAAUGAUUAUAAAAAAAAGAAUAAAUGAUAACAUACACAUCCACACACAAUACAUUACUACAUACAUUUUGCAUGCAUACAUACGAAGAGGGAGAGAAAAAUAAGGAAAAGAGAAUGCACCAACAGAAAAAAUUGUUCACAUUUUUGCAUUCUUUUUCUUUCUCUAUCAUGUACUUUUCGAAGUGUUAAAAAGGAUUAGCCAUUUAAGGUGUUUGAAUUGAUCAUUUUAAUAUGGUCACCUUUUUCAUUUGGCAAAAUAUGACAAGAAUACGGUUCCGUCCUUUAUUAUCAUUGCAUAUAAGGACUAGCAAUGGUUAUGAUGAACUAGAAUUUCAGGUUUGAAUAUUUUGGAUUCAUGUAUAAAUAAAUACCUAGAAGAUUGGUCAAAUAUAUAUAUGUAUAAUUAUUUUUAAAAUAAGAAUUCAGAAAAAACAUUAACAUUAGUUAUAUGAAAAAUUUAUUAUUCGUUAUUUGAUAAAUAAAAGCAUAGAAAUAUGUAAUCUAUAAACUUCGUAACCAACACCAUUUUUUUAAAAAAAUUAAAUAAAAAAUUAUUAAAAAAAAUUAUAAAUAUUUAAAAAUAAAAAUAAAAAUGACGUGGACCUCUAAUAUACUGCCACGUGGCAAAGCUGUUUUCUAAAAAUCGGCUGUUAAAAGUAAUGGCAUGGAUGGGCCGGUUUUGUUACGGCGAUGGCAUGAAUGAGCCAACUUUUAACGGAUGACAUAAAUGAGUCAUUUCUGAUAGUCUAGUAGCAUAUUUGAGCAUUGCGAUAUUUGUGAGGCAUGCAGUGCUUAAAUAACAAAAUGCAUUGUGAUAUGAGCUAGUAAAGGCAAAAAUGACAUGCAGUGCUUAAGUAAUAAAAUAAAUACAUUGUGAUACGUGCAGAUAAAGGCAAAGAUAACAUGUGGUGCUUAAAUGAUGAGAUAAAUGCAUUGCGUGCAAGUAAAGACAAAGAUAGACUGUAGUACUUAAACUAUAAAAUGAAUGCAGUGCAUGCAAGUAGAGGCAAAGAUAAAAUGCGAUCGAUAAAAUAAAUGCAGCGCUUAAAUAAUAAAAUAAAUGCAUUGCGAGAUGUGCAAAUAAAGGCAAGAAAAAUAUACAAUGCUUAACUAACAAAUAAUAAAAUAAAUGCAUUGUGAUGCGUGUAAGUAAAGACAAAGAUAACAUCCAGUGCAAAAAGAAAUAAAUAAAGUGCAAUAUGUGCAAGUAAAGGCAAGCAAGCAUAAAUAUUUAAUUGAAGAAAAACAUGCAUAAUUGUCUUAUUAGAGGGCAGACUGGCCCAAUUGUCCUAUUUUAGGGUGGACAAAUCCAUGUAAAAAAAAAUAUUGAGCAAAGAAAUAUUUGGGAAUGAAAGUAUUCACAUAUUCCUGAUGCAACUUUCAAAAUUGCCCUAGUAUCGAGCUGUGAGAUGCUUGAGAAUGCAAGAUUGUGUAUUUGCUGGGGAGAAAGAAUGAUUAUGGGAUUGUACUGACCAAACUCUACAUAGAGCUUCCUACAUAUCUUGAGUGUUACGAGAAUCAGGUCAAUAUAGUUUAAAAUAAGAAAAACAGAGUAAAUUUUGAGGCGACUCUCAAAAUUUGCCCCAGUGUAUGAUUUAUACUAACACUGACUUCUUCUAAGAAAAUCAAAUGAGGGUUGCCUACGUAUCUUAUAAAAAAACAAGAAUUAGGUCUGCAUAGUUUAGGCAAAUUUGUGAAUUUAUAUGUAACAUUUAUGAUUGUAAAUAAAAAAUGAUAGUCAUCCUUGAAAAUAAUAUGAAAGACAGAUAGAAAAUAACUGCUUUUAGCAUCAAAAUUGUUUCGAUCAGAUGAUCUAAAGAAUGUAAAAAACCUCAAUAUGUUGACAAGUUGAAUAAGUUAGACAUCGAAGGAGUUAUGGCAUUAUUUUGUCACAGUUGACAGGAUUAAUAUAACUGAAAAAAUAUUGAACUCUUUCUUUUGAAAGUGAGGAUCGAUACACUAUAAAUUUAAUGGUCUACGACGUUCGAAAGAAGAAGAUAGGUGCAGGUGAGGAUCUGAAGGUAGGCCGAUUAGGUACUAAUGUAAUUAAGAUUUGAAUUUGAGGAGCUAUCAAAUUGCGCUCUUGAAAAAACGUCUUUGAACUGUUUCAGAAAAUUGUCCCAGUUUAAAAAUCGAAGAAAUUAUUCUAAAAUAGUGAAGAGACCGAACCCUAAUAUAGGGCUGCCUACGUAUCUUGUCAGGAUAAGAAUCAGGUCAAAACGUAGUUCAAAUCUAUACGCAACUACUUGCGAUGUUGUCAAGGCGCAUUUUUUAACUGAUCACUAAGCAAAACAAAGGUUAGACUACACCUUCUCACUAAAGCAUAAUCAAUUUAGAGCAAACAAAUAUGUACAAACGCAAUAAUCCUUCAAAUAUGUACAAAGACUAUGAUAGUGCGUCACUUGGGUCGUGAACCCUUCGGACAUAAAGUUAACUAAUGAUACAUGCACCUAAAAGGUGUUGUUUUAGUUAUAUUCUAUAUUGACUAAGAUUGGGUAGACACAGACUUGAAUUUUCUAUAUGAGAAGGCACGUAGUUCCACAACAGUAAAACUCCCGCUCACCACGCAUGCGUUAACUCUCUAAAAUAAGGUGAUUUGAAAGAAUUUUGGAAAAGUAUAAUGUACAAUCCUCAUGUACAAUGUGUGCGAGUGUCAACUUUCCAAAAUAGAGGAAAUAUGACCAAAAUGUCAAUUUAUAUAAAACAAUAAAUAAAUAAUCUAUACAAAAUAAUAACAAAUAAAUAAUUUAUGUUAUACAACCAAGAUAAAUCAAAACAAUUCAAAAAAAUAAAUAAUAGUGUAUAAAAUAUAUGAAUAUUUACCUAAGCCUGUAAUGAUUAGAACCUUGCAUUCUCAGCAGAGUUGUCAAACUGUCAUAUCCAAUUUUACCUAAGAUCAAAACGAACACGACAUUAUGAAUUCUAAAAUAAUUAAUUUUGUACAGAGUCGCCACCUAAUUUUAAGAAAAAAUAAAAAACCAAUUUAUUUAUUAACAAGUAUAACUUUAUUUAAUCUGCAAAACAAUUAAAAUUCUACGUAAGGGUUUAAAUUAUUUCGAAGGAAAAGGAUUAGACACCUUUCAGAAUCCACAAAUGUGAUUUCCAACCAGACUUAGGCUUUUUACAAGACAAAAGAAAAAAUCAAGGUUUAUAAAUACAAAUCUAAAAUAUACAUUAAAAUAAUAUAAAAAGUUGCUAAAUUACCUAAAUUAUUGUAUAUCAAAAAUAUGUGAAGAUGAUCGAAAGUAUAUAAGAAUGUGUAUAGAAAGAAAAGAAAAAUAUAUUUUAAAGAAAAAGAUUACGCAAUAUCUUUUAAUGCAUAAGUAUAAAUUAAUUAAUAAAAUAUCUAAAUUAAUUAAAAAAAAUUCUAUAAAUAUUAACGGCCUAAUUUGCCUAAACGCGCGGUAAAGAUUGCAUAAGUUCAAAAAAUAUCCCGCUCAAUAUUCCAAAAAUAAAGAUUUCACUAUAAUUAAUAUUUGUACAACGAUAAGAAUAAUAAAAAAAAUACAAGUACAAAAGAUUCAAGCUUUCUUUGAAUAUCAUUUCCGACGAGUAUUCCCAAGAACCUGUACAAACACUUGUAAUAAAAAUGUUAGUAACGAAAUAAUUACAAAAAAGCAUGUGCACAUAUAUGUAUUUAAAAAAUAUAUUUUUUUAUUAAAAAGCGAGUUCAGAUAAAGUUUUUAAAAAAUAUAUAAAAAUUUUAUCAUUGCCCAAAUUUAUUUAUUUUAUUACGUAUUUGUAUACAUAAUAUCCAUCUUUUUAUUUGUGGAGGUCUCAAAAAUCGACGCAGAUCUUCUUAAUAGGCCAAGUGUCAACCCUUGAUAUAAAAUAACUUUGAUAAAAUAAAAUCCGUUUUUUGUAACGAGGUGACCUUAAAUAUUCAGACGGACAGAUAAUUUCAUUAGCCAAGCUUCGACCCUUAAGAUAAAAUAAUAAUUUUGAUAAAAUAAAGUCCAUCUUUUGUGACGGGGUGGCCUCAAAGAUCCCGACAGAAAGAUAAUUUUAUUGGCCAAGUAAAAGUUAAAUUUAAAAUAAAAUUCAUCUUUAUAAUAGGUAGACCUCAAAAAUUCAACCGAAAUAUUUUAUCAUUAUCAAUUAAACUAUUCAAUAUCCAACUAAAAUAAAAAAUAAUAACAGAUCAACAAAACACAACUCAAGAAUAACAAAACAGAAUGAUAAUGUAAAAAUUAUAACAAAUACGUAGGAAAAUGAGAGCACAAAAACUAAAAAUAAAAAUUAAACCAAAUUAUCUUUAAAAAUCAUGAAAGAAGUUGCAACAAAACUAAGAGAAAAUAACAUUCUAAUAUUAACAUUAAACUUCAAACAAAGAAUCUCAAAUUAGAAGGCAUUAACAUUGUCAUAGACAUAAUUGAUCAAUUCAAGAACAAUUUGAAUAUAUGUAGACCCACAUGUAAUAAUACGAAAAAUAAAAUUUGUGGAGGUCAAAUCUCGAUGGGAUCUGAAUGUUACCGAAGUUAUGACUUGAUAUUACCGAAUUUUGUGCUUCUCUGGUGCUGAUGUUGUUUGCCAUGAAGGUUGUUUGGGGAUGAAGAAAGGGAGAGAAAGGAGGGAUGGGGGCGGGGAAGAACAAAGGGGGAAAAAGAAGGUAUGGGGCGUGGAUGAAGAAAGGGAGAGAAAAGAGGGAUGGGGGCGACAGCGGGCUGCCGGACUUGAAACAGCUUACGGCGACGUUCCGAUUUCUGGUUCGUAGGAAUUACAGGUUCGUUGUUGUCUGGAGCUCGUCGGUUAUCAACUCCGGCGAUCCAAUGGUGGAGCGGCGGGUGGAGGAGAAAGGACGAGGGGCGGUGGUGUUUUGGGGGUUUUUCGACGGUAAUGAAGGGCUAUAGGAAAGAAAGAGAGAGAGGAGGAAGGGGUACGGUGGCGGUGCCAUUGGGCAAAAUCCAUCGGAGCUCCAGUGGUGGUGGGGCGGAAGUGAAGGGAAAAGGGAGAGAAAGUGAUGAGAGAGAGUGAGGAUUUGGUUUGUGUGUCGGUGUAUUAGUGUAUACGUUAGUGUGUAUAUGUGUGGU
Molecule: long non-coding RNA, 10634 nt
Filed under: Capsicum annuum
Lineage: Eukaryota; Viridiplantae; Streptophyta; Magnoliopsida; Solanales; Solanaceae
Description: long non-coding RNA (CANN_LNC003196)
Source: RNAcentral